GUCCCUAUCGUCUAGAGGCCUAGGACAUGACCCUCUCAAGGUCAGAACAUGGGUUCGAAUCCCAUUGGGGACGCCA
Molecule: transfer RNA, 76 nt
Filed under: Burkholderiales bacterium 1_1_47
Lineage: Bacteria; Pseudomonadati; Pseudomonadota; Betaproteobacteria; Burkholderiales
Also listed under: 9 other names
Description: tRNA-Glu
Rfam family: tRNA
About the family: Transfer RNA (tRNA) molecules are approximately 80 nucleotides in length. Their secondary structure includes four short double-helical elements and three loops (D, anti-codon, and T loops).
Source: RNAcentral